Molecule: ribosomal RNA, 253 nt
Filed under: uncultured bacterium
Lineage: Bacteria
Description: partial 16S ribosomal RNA
Rfam family: Bacterial small subunit ribosomal RNA
Source: RNAcentral
UACGUAGGUGGCAAGCGUUGUCCGGAUUUACUGGGCGUAAAGAGCGCGCAGGUGGUCGUUCAAGUCGCGUGUGAAAGCCCCCGGCUCAACUGGGGAGGGUCACGCGAUACUGAUCGACUCGAAGGCAGGAGAGGGAAGUGGAAUUCCCGGUGUAGUGGUGAAAUGCGUAGAUAUCAGGAGGAACACCGGUGGUGUAGACGGCUCACUGGACCGUAACUGACGCUGAGACACGAAAGCGUGGGUAGCAAACAGG